RNAcentral lists this transfer-messenger RNA (382 nucleotides) under Chelativorans sp. AA-79. It matches the Rfam family "Alphaproteobacteria transfer-messenger RNA". From Rfam's summary of the family: Bacterial tmRNA, also known as 10Sa RNA or SsrA, is named for its dual tRNA and mRNA-like properties. Its role is to liberate the mRNA from a stalled ribosome. Lineage: Bacteria; Pseudomonadati; Pseudomonadota; Alphaproteobacteria; Hyphomicrobiales; Phyllobacteriaceae. The record is from RNAcentral.
CCCCUUUCAUUGCGAAACCGUCGCCCCUAUAUUGAGCGCGUCGGUUUCGGCCGACUAUGGCGAUAAACGGCCGAUGCAAUAAGCCAUUCGGACCCGGGGGCGGUACCCGGCGCCUCCACCAGAAACCGCCGGCCAGCCCUCGAUUGGGAGGGCGACACGAAGGGCGGCUUCUGAUGGGGGCGAAACAGGAUCGACGAGGGUGUAAAGAUCGGACUUUCGCUCGGCAUGGUACCACCGUUAUCGGGCUAAUCUUAUAGUUGCCAACGACAACUAUGCGGAAGCACGUCUCGCCGCGUAAGCGGUGCGACAGCUUCAAUUAAAGCCUCAGGCCGUCGCAGGUCUGAGCGGGGUUCGGAGGCACCUGGCAACAGAAGCCUCCACU